Molecule: long non-coding RNA, 510 nt
Organism: Ornithorhynchus anatinus (platypus)
Lineage: Eukaryota; Metazoa; Chordata; Mammalia; Monotremata; Ornithorhynchidae
Exons: 3
Source: RefSeq, a predicted model, not a curated record
UUAAGUGCUUACUGUGUGCAGAGCAACUUACUAAGCCCUAGGAGAAAAAGCAUGGUUGCUGUCCCUUGCAGUUACCUCAAGUACAGGAACAGGAUUCUGCUCCAAAAGCAAUUUUACCAUAGAGUUCUCAGGGGAUAGAAACUGGGAAGAGGAGAUCAAACAAUCCUUCCUCAGAACUUAAGAAUUCCUGCCUGUUCUCAACCUCCAGUCAAUGAGGAAAUGGGGCAACACACUUCUCUCCAGCUACGAAACGAGGUUGGGGAAGACGUGGAGUCUACACGAACUAGAAGGCAUUGUCUGAGGAAAAGUUACCUCUUCAGAUCAACAGUGGUGACGUUGAACACAACCCCUUUCAGCCAGAGGAUCAUGAAGAGGCGCUGAGAGAAGGGGCAGUUUCCAAUGCUUUCCCCAUCUAUUCCAGCCUAGAGGAAAGAAAACCAAAAUACAAGUUUUUUUGUUGUUGUUGGGAAAAAGAAAAUUAAAAUCAACCAGUCCCUGGACUACCAACCA